RNAcentral lists this ribosomal RNA (2996 nucleotides) under Deltaproteobacteria bacterium. RNAcentral describes it as "23S ribosomal RNA". It matches the Rfam family "Bacterial large subunit ribosomal RNA". Lineage: Bacteria; Pseudomonadati; Myxococcota; Myxococcia. The record is from RNAcentral.
UACGGUCAAGCUACCAAGGGCGCACGGUGGAUGCCUAGGCGCUGGGAGGCGAGGAAGGACGUGGACAGCUGCGAUAAGCCCCGGGGAGCCGCUAACAGGCAUAGAUCCGGGGACCUCCGAAUCGGGAAACCGGCGCGGGGUAAUGCCCGCGCACCCGCCGCCGAAUCCAUAGGCGGCGCGGAGCGAACGCGGUGAACUGAACCAUCUCAGUAGCCGCAGGAACAGAAAGCAAAGCCGCGAUUCCCCUAGUAGCGGCGAGCGAACGGGGAACAGCCCAAACCGAGCUUAUGCAAGCCCGCAGGCGUUGUAGGCUCGGGGUCGUGGGGGCCUCCGGGGACGCUGCGGAUUCCCCAGGAAGUUACAAAGCGGCCGGGUAGGCGAAGGGUCUGGAAAGGCCCGCCAGAGAAGGUAACAGCCCUGUAGACGAAACCCGGUCGCCUUCCGAGGAUUCCCCAAGUACCGCAGGACACGUGCAAUCCGGCGGGAAUUCGGGAGGACCAUCUCCCAAGGCUAAAUACUACCCAGCGACCGAUAGUGAACAAGUACCGUGAGGGAAAGGUGAAAAGAACCCCUGUUAGGGGAGUGAAAUAGUACCUGAAACCGUGCGUCUACAAGCAGUGGGAGCACUAUGGCCUUCGGGCAAUGUGCGACCGCGUACCUUUUGCAUCAUGACCCUGCUAGUUACGCUACGUGGCAAGGUUAAGCCGCGAGGUGGAGCCGCAGACAAAGCGAGUCCGAACAGGGCGCUCGAGUCGCGUGGCGUAGACCCGAAACCAGGUGAUCUACCCAUGGCCAGGGUGAAGCGUGGGUAAUACCACGUGGAGGCCCGAACUCACUAGGGUUGAAAACCUAGGGGAUGAGCUGUGGGUGGGAGUGAAAGGCUAAUCAAACUUGGAGAUAGCUGGUUCUCCCCGAAACAUAUUGAGGUAUGGCCUCGUGCGUUCCGCACCGGAGGUAGAGCACUGGAUGGGCUAGGGGUCCUACCAGAUUACCAAACCCAACCAAACUCCGAAUGCCGGUGACGCCAGCACGGGAGACAGACGGCGGGUGAUAAGAUCCGUCGUCGAGAGGGAAAGAGCCCAGACCGCCAGCCAAGGCCCCCAAAUCGAUGCUCAGUGGGAAAGGAAGUGGGAACGCUCAGACAACCAGGAGGUUGGCUUAGAAGCAGCCAUCCUUUGAAGAAAGCGUAACAGCUCACUGGUCAAGCGGUCUCGCGCCGAAAAUCCAACGGGGCUAAGCAUCGUGCCGAAGCUGCGGGUCCGUCGCAAGACGGGCGGUAGGGGAGCAUUCUCAGGCAGACACGUGUCGUACCGUGAGGAGCGAUUCAGGGCCUGAGAAGGGAUAAUGCAGGGAUGAGUAGCGAGAAAAGGGGUGAGAAGCCCCUUCGCCGUAAGCCAAAGGAUUCCUGGGGAAGGAUCAUCCUCCCAUGGGUUAGUCGGUACCUAAGCCGAGGCCGAAAGGCGUAGGUGAUGGGGAGCAGGCUAAUAUUCCUGCACCACCUUGGUGCGCCAGCCUGAGAGGGGACGGAGAAGGGUAGGCUCGUGCCGGCGGGUUGUUGCGCCGGCUCAAACCCGUAGGGGGGCGCUCCAGGACCCGAAAGGGACAAACGGAGCGCCACCAACCCCGAGAGGUGAUGAGGUGGCCGUAUGGCCAACAACGGAGUGAUCCCAGGCUCCCGAGAAAAGCCUCGCAGGUUGCACUGAGGUGACCGUACCGCAAACCGACUCUGGUGGGCGGGGAGAGUAUCCCAAGGCGCGUGGGAGAACCCAGGCUAAGGAACUCGGCAAAAUGACACCGUAACUUCGGGAGAAGGUGUGCCUCUCCUCGUGAAGGGACUUGCUCCCCGAGCGUCGAGGGGUCGCAGAGAAACGGGGGUUGCGACUGUUUACUAAAAACACAGGACUCUGCGAAGUCGCAAGACGACGUAUAGGGUCUGACGCCUGCCCGGUGCCGGAAGGUUAAGGGGACCCGUCAGCGCAAGCGAAGCGGGGAACCGAAGCCCCGGUAAACGGCGGCCGUAACUAUAACGGUCCUAAGGUAGCGAAAUUCCUUGUCGGGUAAGUUCCGACCUGCACGAAUGGCGUAACGACAUCCCCACUGUCUCGGCCUGGGACCCAGCGAAAUUGAACUGGCUGUGAAGAUGCAGCCUACCCGCGGCAAGACGGAAAGACCCCGUGAACCUUUACUGCAACUCGGCAGUGACUUUUGGUUCUGUCUGUGUAGGAUAGGUGGGAGGCUUUGAAGCCGGGGCGCCAGCCUCGGUGGAGCCAACGUUGAAAUACCACCCUGACUGAACUGGAAGUCUAACCUUGGCCCGUCAGCCGGGUCGGGGACACUGCCCGGUGGGCAGUUUGACUGGGGCGGUCGCCUCCCAAACGGUAACGGAGGCGCACGAAGGUUCCCUCAGGCUGGUCGGAAAUCAGCCGUCGAGUGCAAAGGCAUAAGGGAGCUUGACUGCGAGACCGACAGGUCGAGCAGGUGGGAAACCAGGUCUUAGUGAUCCGGUGGUCCCGCAUGGAAGGGCCAUCGCUCAUCGGAUAAAAGGUACUCCGGGGAUAACAGGCUGAUCGCGCCUGAGAGUUCACAUCGGCGGCGCGGUUUGGCACCUCGAUGUCGGCCCAUCGCAUCCUGGGGCUGGAGCAGGUCCCAAGGGUUUGGCUGUUCGCCAAUUAAAGCGGUACGCGAGCUGGGUUUAGAACGUCGUGAGACAGUUCGGUCCCUAUCUGCCGUGGGCGCAGGAUGCUUGAGGGGACUCGUCCUGAGUACGAAAGGAACUGGACGAACGGACCUCUGGUUUGCCGGUUGUCUCGCUCGAGGCACUGCCGGGUAGCCAUGUUCGGACCGGAUAACUGCUGAAAGCAUCUAAGCGGGAAGCCGACCCCAAGAUGAGGCAUCCCCUGGACUUCGGUCCACUGAAGGCCCCUCGGAGACUACGAGGUUGAUAGGCGGGAGGUGCAUGCUGACCCGUACUAAUCGGCCGUGCGGCUUGACCGUAU